This 1520-nucleotide ribosomal RNA is filed under the name human gut metagenome. Its description in RNAcentral is "bacterial LSU rRNA". It matches the Rfam family "Bacterial large subunit ribosomal RNA", at positions 465 to 1983 of the family's 2925-position model. The record is from RNAcentral.
GCUAAAUACUCCCGAGAGACCGAUAGUGAACCAGUACCGCGAGGGAAAGGUGAAAAGUACCCCGAGCAGGGGGGUGAAAUAGACCCUGAACCCGCGCGCCUACAAGCGGUCGGAGCCGGGUAAUCCGGUGACGGCGUGCCUUUUGCAUAAUGAGCCUACGAGUUAGUCGUCACCAGCGAGGUUAAGGGCUUCAGGCCCGUUAGCCGAAGUGAAAGCGAGCCUUAACAGGGCGUCGAGUUGGUGGCGCUAGACGCGAAACCUUGUGAUCUACCCACGAGCAGGUUGAAGUCGCGGUAACACGUGAUGGAGGACCGAACCGGUAAACGUUGAAAAGUUUUCGGAUGACUCGCGGGUAGGGGUGAAAGGCCAAUCAAACUGGGAAAUAGCUCGUACUCUCCGAAAUGCAUUUCGGUGCAGCCUGUGAUGUUCUGUUCCAGAGGUAGAGCUACUGGUUGGACGCGAGGGCUUCACCGCCUAUCAAAUCCGGAUAAACUCCGAAUGCUGGAACACGAAAUCAUGGAGUGAGCCCGCGGGUGCUAAGGUCCGCGGACGAGAGGGAAAGAACCCGGACCACCGGCUAAGGUCCCGGAUGGACAGUUAAGUUGAUCAAACGAGGUGGGAUCGCUGAGACAGCUAGGAUGUUGGCUUGGAAGCAGCCAUUCAUUUAAAGAGUGCGUAACAGCUCACUAGUCGAGCGAUCCCGCGUGGAUAAUACACGGGCAUCAAACUGUCAACCGAAGCCGUGGGGUCAGCGAAAAGCUGACCGGUAGGAGAGCAUUCCUGCCAGCGUCGAAGGUCACCCGCGAGAGUGACUGGAGCGGCAUGAAAAGCAAAUGUAGGCAUAAGUAACGAUAAUGGGGGCGAGAACCCCCCACGCCGCAAGACCAAGGAUUCCCCGGCAAUGUCAAUCAGCCGGGGGUCAGCCGGCCUCUAAGGCUCACCCGAAAGGGGAUGCCGACGAGAAACGGGUUAACAUUCCCGUGCUUCUCGUCACCGUGACGCGGUGACGGGGUGAUGAAUGGACCGCGCGCUGACGGAAUAGCGCGUUGAAGGCCGUACCCUUCGAGGGUGGUAGUCAAGCACGCCACCCGAGGCGAUAGCCGAUAGUACCACGAGACCCCGGUCGAGUGGAUAGCGUCCAGGCAAUUUACCCCCUAGAAAACCCGCUAAACUUCAAGUGACGAGGAACCGUACUGUAAACGGACACACGUGGUCGGGUAGAACAUACCAAGGCGCUCGAGUGAUUCAUGGUCAAGGAACUAGGCAAAAUAGUCCUGUAACUUAGGGAUAAAGGACGCUCUAGUGAUAGAGCCGCAGAGUAAUGGCCCAGGCGACUGUUUACCAAAAACACAUGGCUAUGCCAAAUCGAAAGAUGACGUAUAUGGCCUGACACCUGCCCGGUGCCGGAAGGUUAAGAGGAGAGCUCAUCGGAAACGAGAAGGUUUGAAUUGAAGCCCCGGUAAACGGCGGCCGUAACUAUAACGGUCCUAAGGUAGCGAAAUUCCUUGUCGGGUAAGUUC